This 497-nucleotide ribosomal RNA is filed under the name uncultured bacterium. Its description in RNAcentral is "partial 16S ribosomal RNA". It matches the Rfam family "Bacterial small subunit ribosomal RNA", at positions 28 to 507 of the family's 1533-position model. The record is from RNAcentral.
GACGAACGCUGGCGGCGUGCCUAAUACAUGCAAGUCGAGCGAACAGACGAGGAGCUUGCUCCUCUGACGUUAGCGGCGUACGGGUGAGUAACACGUGGAUAACCUACCUAUAAGACUGGGAUAACUUCGGGAAACCGGAGCUAAUACCGGAUAAUAUAUUGAACCGCAUGGUUCAAUAGUUAAAUACGGUUUUGCUGUCACUUAUAGAUGGAUCCGCGCCGCAUUAGCUAGUUGGUAAGGUAACGGCUUACCAAGGCAACGAUGCGUAGCCGACCUGAGAGGGUGAUCGGCCACACGGGAACUGAGACACGGUACAGACUCCUACGGGAGGCAGCAGUAGGGAAUCUUACGCAAUGGGCGAAAGCCUGACGGAGCAACGCCGCGUGAGUGAUGAAGGUCUGCGGAUCGUAAAACUCUGUUAUUAGGGAAGAACAAAUGUGUAAGUAACUAUGCACGUCGUGACGGUACCUAAUCAGAAAGCCACGGCUAACUACGUG